RNAcentral lists this unclassified non-coding RNA (379 nucleotides) under Hevea brasiliensis (rubber tree). The record is from RNAcentral. Lineage: Eukaryota; Viridiplantae; Streptophyta; Magnoliopsida; Malpighiales; Euphorbiaceae.
UACAAGUCAGUUUUCCUCCUUCUCCAAGAAGACAUCAUCCAACACAUGAUAUUGAUUUCAGGUAUUGGCAUAUUGCAAAAGCAACCCCCAACACAACUUGUUUGUGAAUUAGGAGUAGCUCAAGUCACAGAAGACACAAAUAACAGCUUGGACUUGAAGCACUCAUAAAAGCUAACAAAAAGCCUAGCAGAGGAUGUAGUCGUAGACAAAUAGUGUUAAUGAAGUGUGUUGAAUGAAUGCUAAGAAAGACAAGAUAGUGUUUAAGUGGAGUAAAUUUUACUGAUUACAUGCACAACAAUUUAGGUAAGUAGGGCAUCCAACCUGCAUCACCCUAGCAUUUAAUAACACUGGUUUGGUUAAAGAUUAUCAUGUAGACUUG